This 319-nucleotide unclassified non-coding RNA is filed under the name uncultured fungus. Its description in RNAcentral is "partial contains small subunit ribosomal RNA, internal transcribed spacer 1, and 5.8S ribosomal RNA". The stretch from base 1 to 73 matches the Rfam family "Eukaryotic small subunit ribosomal RNA", at positions 1759 to 1831 of the family's 1831-position model. Lineage: Eukaryota; Fungi. The record is from RNAcentral.
GCAAACUUGGUCAUUUAGAGGAAGUAAAAGUCGUAACAAGGUUUCCGUAGGUGAACCUGCGGAAGGAUCAUUAACAAAUUAUCCACAAUUAUGGAUAAUUUUAUCCAUAUCCACCUUGUGUGCAUGAUUGAAAUGUUUGUUGGCAGGUUGAUCUCUCUCGUGUUUGAGAGAGUCGUGGGUUUUAGGCUUUUGCCGGCUCGUCCUGCCAAUUUUAUUCUGGUAAACAAGUCUAAAUAUUAGUGUCUGAAAUAAAAAUAUAUUAAUUAAUACAACUUUCAACAACGGAUCUCUUGGCUCUCGCAUCGAUGAAGAACGCAGC